RNAcentral lists this ribosomal RNA (254 nucleotides) under uncultured bacterium. RNAcentral describes it as "partial 16S ribosomal RNA". It matches the Rfam family "Bacterial small subunit ribosomal RNA", at positions 524 to 776 of the family's 1533-position model. The record is from RNAcentral.
GACGUAGGGACCAAGCGUUGUUCGGAUUUACUGGGCGUAAAGGGCGCGUAGGCGGCGCUGUAAGUCACUUGUGAAAUCUCCGGGCUUAACUCGGAACGGUCAAGUGAUACUGCAGUGCUAGAGUGCAGAAAGGGCAAUCGGAAUUCUUGGUGUAGCGGUGAAAUGCGUAGAUAUCAAGAGGAACACCUGAGGCGAAGGCGGGUUGCUAGGCUGACACUGACGCUGACAGCGCGAAAGCCAGGGGAGCAAACGGG